CUUUUAAUCAAUUGGUCGCAGGUUCGAAUCCUGCACGACCCACCAAUGCUUAGGUGAGCAGUAGUAGUAAGCGUAAAGGAUAACGUUGCGACAGCAACGGCCCGUAGGGCGAGGCGAAGCCGAGUCAUCCUGCACGACCCACCA
RNAcentral lists this small RNA (144 nucleotides) under Klebsiella oxytoca. RNAcentral describes it as "RtT RNA". It matches the Rfam family "RtT RNA", at positions 22 to 130 of the family's 130-position model. Rfam says of the family: This family represents a bacterial cis-regulatory element known as RtT RNA. The exact function of RtT is unknown although it is thought that it may be involved in changing the cellular response in relation to amino acid starvation. Lineage: Bacteria; Pseudomonadati; Pseudomonadota; Gammaproteobacteria; Enterobacterales; Enterobacteriaceae. The record is from RNAcentral.